AUUGAACGCUGGCGGCAUGCCUUACACAUGCAAGUCGAACGGCAGCACGGGAGCUUGCUCCUGGUGGCGAGUGGCGAACGGGCGAGUAAUACAUCGGAACGUACCCUGAAGUGGGGGAUAACGUAGCGAAAGUUACGCUAAUACCGCAUAUUCUGUGAGCAGGAAAGAGGGGGAUCGCAAGACCUCUUGCUUUAGGAGCGGCCGAUGUCGGAUUAGCUAGUUGGUGAGGUAAAGGCUCACCAAGGCGACGAUCCGUAGCGGGUCUGAGAGGAUGAUCCGCCACACUGGGACUGAGACACGGCCCAGACUCCUACGGGAGGCAGCAGUGGGGAAUUUUGGACAAUGGGCGCAAGCCUGAUCCAGCCAUGCCGCGUGAGUGAAGAAGGCC
Molecule: ribosomal RNA, 388 nt
Filed under: uncultured bacterium
Lineage: Bacteria
Description: bacterial SSU rRNA
Rfam family: Bacterial small subunit ribosomal RNA
Source: RNAcentral